This is a long non-coding RNA of Brienomyrus brachyistius, 1581 nucleotides long. RefSeq lists it as uncharacterized. The record is from RefSeq and is a predicted model, not a curated record. The transcript has 4 exons. NCBI's taxonomy places the organism in Eukaryota, Metazoa, Chordata, Actinopteri, Osteoglossiformes, Mormyridae.
AAGUCUUAUCUGGUAUUUUUAGCCUGUGGGACUCUAGAGGCAGCUGAUAAGUACCGGCGGACCAGGUGGAACAGGGCUUCGGUGGUCGAUGAGGCAAAAACUCGGGUGUGAGAAAUUCGCGAGGCCAUGGACAACGACUUCAGGAUGGCUUCGAGGAGAUUAUGGUUCACCAUCUGGCGGGUGGGAAAUUAGUGCAGCAUCAAACUGUUUAUGAUGGGGAUGGGGCGCUGCUGACCUCAGCUCCAGAUGUUGUGGGUCGGUGGAAGGAAUUCUUCGAAGACCUCCUCAAUCCCAGCGACAUGGCUUCCAAUGAGGAAGCAGAGUGUGGGGACUGGGUGAACCCCCUAUCUCUAGGGUGGAAGUCGCUGAGGUAGUUAAAAAGCUCCUUGGUAGCUGGACCCUGAAGGUGGAUGAGAUCCGCCUGGAGUUCCUAAAGGCUCUGGAUGUUGCAGGGCUGUCCUGGUUGAGACACAUCUGUAGCAUCGUGUGGACAUCGGGGGCAGUGCCUCUGGAUUGGCGGACCAGGGUGGUGGUCCCCCUCUUCAAGAAGGGGGACUAGAGGGUGUGUUCCAACUAUAGGGGAUCAUACUCCUCAGCCUCCCUGGUAAGGUCUAUUUGGCAGUUCUGGAGAGGAGGGUCCGCUGGAUUGUCGAACCUCAGAUUCAGGAGGAGCAGUGUGGUUUUCACCCUGGCCGUGGAUCAGUGAACCAGCUCUAUACUCUCAGCAGGGUCCUGGAGGGUGCAUGGGAGUUUGCCUAAUCAGUCUACAUGUGCUUUGUGGACUUGGAGAAGGCAUUCGACCAUGUCCCAUAAUGAACCCCUGUUGUGUCCUGUGAGCUGUCAGUGGGUUAUCCACCUUCCUGUCUGUAUCAUGCCUCAUCUGUAUGCCAGAACCACCCAAAUCUGUUACUAGGAGUCUAAGGUGGGACAUGAUCCAGGAAAAAUCAAAUGGAACAACUUGCUUUUGUGCAACGUCACGUAAAGAUGAUGCUCCUACCUGAACAGAGGAGCCAGGUUUACAGGGUGGUCCACUGGGCUGGGAUCUGACUGGAAUCGGCACAAUACAGGCACGCUUUUGUCGGCGCAGUCGCUCUGCAGUUUGGGAGGAAAAAUCAAAUGGAACAACUUGCUUUUGUGCAACGUCACGUAAAGAUGAUGCUCCUACCUGAACAGAGGAGCCAGGUUUAUAGGGUGGUCCACUGGGCUGGGAUCUGACUGGAAUCGGCACAAUACAGGCACGCUUUUGUCGGCGCAGUCGCUCUGCAGUUUGGGAGAGCUCCCUUGUGUACUCGCCACCUCCAUGUGUUCGUUGGACUGAUCCUCCAGCUUCUGAAAUCCCUGGAUCCGUGACCUCGACUACAAGUAUUGCUUACAGAUUCGAGUUUUGUUGUCAUUGUAAUAAACUCCCCUUUCCUGUGUAUUGGUUCUCUGACCUGUGUUUGACAGUCUUAGCUGCUUGGGAUAGGUAGCCAGCAUUUUAUCACCAAUACUGCGUUUAACUUUGCUUUGUUUUUAAAGUAAAAUAUUACGGAAGUACUGAAUGUUACACUGAUGGUGGCAUUUCUAAAUAACAGCCAAAUC